RNAcentral lists this ribosomal RNA (317 nucleotides) under Sesamia nonagrioides (Mediterranean corn borer). Its description in RNAcentral is "partial 16S ribosomal RNA". Lineage: Eukaryota; Metazoa; Arthropoda; Insecta; Lepidoptera; Noctuidae. The record is from RNAcentral.
UAUGAAGGAUUGGAUGAAAUAUAAACUGUCUCUUAAUUAUAUUUAGAAUUUAAUUUUUUAGUUAAAAAGUUAAAAUAAAUUAGAAAGACGAGAAGACCCUAUAGAGUUUUAUAGAUAAAAUUAAUUGAGAUUAUUUGUAAAGGUUAAAAUUAAAAUUAAUUUAUUUAUUUUGUUGGGGUGACAGAAAAAUAUGAAAAACUUUUUAUAUGUUUAAAACAUUAAUAAGUGGUUAAAUGAUCCAGUAUUAUUGAUUAUAAGAAAAAAUUACCUUAGGGAUAACAGCGUAAUUUUUUUUUUUAGUUCACAUAAAAAAAAAA